RNAcentral lists this RNase P RNA (438 nucleotides) under Ignavibacteriota bacterium. RNAcentral's name for it is "Ignavibacteriae bacterium RNase P RNA component class A". It matches the Rfam family "Bacterial RNase P class A". From Rfam's summary of the family: Ribonuclease P (RNase P) is a ubiquitous endoribonuclease, found in archaea, bacteria and eukarya as well as chloroplasts and mitochondria. Its best characterised activity is the generation of mature 5'-ends of tRNAs by cleaving the 5'-leader elements of precursor-tRNAs. Cellular RNase Ps are ribonucleoproteins. The record is from RNAcentral. Lineage: Bacteria; Pseudomonadati; Ignavibacteriota.
GAUUCAAGUUGGGCAAUUGCUACUCUUUUGUAAUAAGCUGGAGUAGAGGAAAGUCCGAACACCAAGGACAGAGUGCCGGGUAACGCCCGGGGAUUUAUUAUGAAAAUAAUAAAUUACGGAAAGUGCCACAGAAAAUAAACUUUCUUGCGAUAGCAGGAUAAAGGUGAAAAGGCAGGGUAAGAGCCUACCGCUUUGAUAGUAAUAUCAGAGGUCUCUUUUUAGAGAGUUCCUAAAUAUAGGAAUCACGGUAAACCCCACUUGGUGCAAGGUUAAGUAGAAAAUUUUACAAUAUUGAUUUGUAAGAGGGUGUUCUCCCAAUAUUUUCGGGUAAACCGCUUGAGUUCCAAAGUAAUUUGGAACCUAGAUAAAUAAUUGCCGUUCGUUUUUCUUCUUGAAGAAUACGAAUUACAGAAUUCGGCUUAUAGACUUGAAUUGAAA